Long non-coding RNA from Dermochelys coriacea (leatherback sea turtle), 876 nucleotides. RefSeq lists it as uncharacterized. NCBI's taxonomy places the organism in Eukaryota, Metazoa, Chordata, Testudines, Dermochelyidae. The record is from RefSeq and is a predicted model, not a curated record. The transcript has 3 exons.
AAAAGAGAAGAUAUAAUAGAACAUCUCCAAAUCUGUAAAGAAGAUAGAAGGUGAUGGAAAAUCCACAACCCUUACCCUUGGUAAGGAGUGUUGAUGACUGUUGCCUUUGAAUCUUUUGGGUAAGACUUGGACUGGAGUGCGUUGGUUAAACCUUCGCUGAGGACACCGAAUGUCUGCAUAUCUACGGAUUCUAAAGAAAUCUCUACCUAUGACAAAAUAAUUGCCCCAUUUGCUGCAGGAUCCCUUUUUCCUGAUGAAAAAAAAUCACCAUUACUUCUUUUUAAGGAAGAGGGUGUCUGAUAACAUUAUAAGUGUCAGUGACACUUAGACUGACUUUCCAUUAGUGUUCCACAGGAGAUAACUGGCAGAAAAGAAAUGGAAGACUAGAGCAGAUGAUUGUUCAGGUAAGCUACUGUUAUGUCAUAAUAAAAAGAUCAACUCAGAAUACUACAGGAUCAACUGAGUAAAAGAAGCAAGUUACGAGAUGGAGGUGAUAUCAGAAAUAUUAGUGCAAAAAAUUUUUUAAAAAGCAACAUGAAAGGUAAAUUUUAUGCAGUUCUUUAAAUUUUCUCUCAAAGACUGUUUAAAACUAUUUUAAAAGAUACUUUUCUGCUUUUAUUAUUUUGUUAGUCAUUAUUUUGAUUAUUUGAAUUUUCUUUUGGUCUGGUGAUCAAAAUCCAUUUUCACAACUUCGUCCAAGUCUGUUUGAGGAAUACUAUACACUUAUCAAAUAGGUACAUUCCUGCCUCUCUGCAUACCUCCCAUUUUUCAUACAGAACAUAAACAUAUAUAAAUAAAUAUUCAUGGAUUUUGCAUAUUUUAUAUGCACAUGGAUUAUGAUAAAUAUGCUUUCAGAAUAAAAAUACGUACAAGUAU